This 468-nucleotide ribosomal RNA is filed under the name uncultured bacterium. RNAcentral's name for it is "partial 16S ribosomal RNA". It matches the Rfam family "Bacterial small subunit ribosomal RNA", at positions 28 to 507 of the family's 1533-position model. The record is from RNAcentral.
GACGAACGCUGGCGGCGUGCUUAACACAUGCAAGUCGAACGGAAAGGCCCUGCUUUUGUGGGGUGCUCGAGUGGCGAACGGGUGAGUAACACGUGAGUAACCUGCCCUUGACUUUGGGAUAACUUCAGGAAACUGGGGCUCAUACCGGAUAGGAGCUCCUGCUGCAUGGUGGGGGUUGGAAAGUUUCGGCGGUUGGGGAUGGACUCGCGGCUUAUCAGCUUGUUGGUGGGGUAGUGGCUUACCAAGGCUUUGACGGGUAGCCGGCCUGAGAGGGUGACCGGCGACAAUGGGACUGAGAGACGGCCCAGAAGCGAACGGGAGGCAGCAGUGGGGAGUAUGGCACAAUAGGGGGAAGUCUGAGGCAGCAACGCCGGGAGCGUAAUGAUGGCUUACGGGUGGUAAACCGCUUUCGCCGGAGACGAAGAGGGCGUGACGGUAAUGGGUAAAGAAGCACCGGCUAACUACGUG